Long non-coding RNA from Fukomys damarensis (Damara mole-rat), 234 nucleotides. RefSeq lists it as uncharacterized. The record is from RefSeq and is a predicted model, not a curated record. Lineage: Eukaryota; Metazoa; Chordata; Mammalia; Rodentia; Bathyergidae. The transcript is spliced from 3 exons.
GUCUGCUCUGUGCAGAAGAGGCCUCAGCAAGCCGGAGACUGAAGAUGGGGUUUAAGCCCUGGGUGGGCAGCAGGGAAUGAGACAGUAUGUGAACUCCAAACUAAAGAUGGAUUCCAGAGCUUCUCUGUCAGGCUUCCAACCCUUCGUAAAAGCUUCACUCUGCGAGGGAAUUUGGCCUGCUAUCACAGGUCAACAUCGAACCUAACCACUGAAUGUGACCCAGCUCUCGUCCAA